This 824-nucleotide long non-coding RNA is filed under the name Ananas comosus (pineapple). Its description in RNAcentral is "long non-coding RNA (ACOM_LNC032842)". Lineage: Eukaryota; Viridiplantae; Streptophyta; Magnoliopsida; Poales; Bromeliaceae. The record is from RNAcentral.
AAUAUGCGUGAAAUAAUCUUUGUUACUUAAUUCGUAAAUUAUUCGCGAAUUAUUCACGAAUUAUUGAAAGGCUGAAUAAAAAACUCAUAAUUUUUAUAUUUAAAUAUAUAUUAUUUUAUAUUUUAUACCGAAUUUAUUUUUUAAGACGAAUUUUUCAACGAAUUUAAAAAUUUAUAUAUACACACAUAUAUAGAGAGAAGUACCAUAAAUUUUUUCCAAAAAUAAAAGAAAGAAUCUUUGGUUUAUUUUAAUGCUGUUUUUGUUGAUAAAAAUUCUGAAUAACGAUCCAUAUUAGUGAACUUGAUUUAGACUAUUUAAACUAUGUAAGUAUCAUAUAAUAGCAUCUGUCUAGUAAUUAAGUGGUCUUCAAUUCACUUUAUAUUACACACUAAAAAAUAUUAAUUAAAUUUGAGUGAUAUAUUAAUUAAAUUUGAGAUCACUCAAGUAUUAGACAAAUAGAAAAUUAGAAAAUUUGAAACAUGAGUAUAGGAUCCUCGGUGCCAAUCAUUAAAACAAAAAUUCAAAUUGUUAAAAGGAUAUAUUCAAUUCAUUUAAAAGCUUAGGUCUCGUUUGGUUCGGAUAUAAGCAAAAAUUGCCUAUUUCGAAAAUGGAUAUAUAAGUUCAGAUAUAAGCAAAAAUUAGAUCAUUUUUAUAUUUGGAUUAAAAUUAAAUUUUUUUCAGAAAUUAAAAAAAAUAGCGGUUGAAUAGAUAAGAUGGAAUAAGAAGAAUAAUGGAUAGUUAUAUAUAAAAAAUAAUGAUAUUACCUCUCUUAUUAUAUUUAAAUUUAAAUUUGUAAAUUUAUAAUUUUAAAAUAACUUUUAAAU